This 473-nucleotide ribosomal RNA is filed under the name uncultured bacterium. Its description in RNAcentral is "bacterial SSU rRNA". It matches the Rfam family "Bacterial small subunit ribosomal RNA", at positions 355 to 825 of the family's 1533-position model. The record is from RNAcentral.
UGGGGAAUUUUGGACAAUGGGGGAAACCCUGAUCCAGCCAUGCCGCGUGUGUGAAGAAGGCCUUCGGGUUGUAAAGCACUUUCGGACGGAACGAAAUCGCACGGGUGAAUAUCCCGUGUGGAUGACGGUACCGUAAGAAGAAGCACCGGCUAACUACGUGCCAGCAGCCGCGGUAAUACGUAGGGUGCGAGCGUUAAUCGGAAUUACUGGGCGUAAAGUGUGCGCAGGCGGCUUCGCAAGUCGAGUGUGAAAUCCCCCGGGCUUAACUUGGGAACGGCGCUCGAAACUACGGAGCUAGAGUAUGGCAGAGGGAGGUGGAAUUCCACGUGUAGCGGUGAAAUGCGUAGAGAUGUGGAGGAACACCAAUGGCGAAGGCAGCCUCCUGGGCCAAUACUGACGCUCAUGCACGAAAGCGUGGGGAGCAAACAGGAUUAGAUACCCAUGUAGUCCCUGAGCGGGCUGGCAAGGCGCAU